Long non-coding RNA from Lycium barbarum (goji berry), 6378 nucleotides. RefSeq lists it as uncharacterized. The record is from RefSeq and is a predicted model, not a curated record. Lineage: Eukaryota; Viridiplantae; Streptophyta; Magnoliopsida; Solanales; Solanaceae. The transcript has 2 exons.
CUCCUCCUUCGAUCUCAUCUCUCCCACGCUCACUCUGUACCCCCCCCCCCCCCCACUUCGCCCUGCUCCCCACACUUCUGUCCCCCACUUCCCUUUGUCCCCCGCACUUCUCUCUUUCCCGCUCCUCCCUCUUUCUUCAAUGCCAAAAGAGCAAAAACCCUAUAAAAUAGCAGUGAGUUGAAUCGUAAAGGUGGUGGUUCAGCUGCAAAAAAUCCCCCCCAAAAAAAUACAAAUUUUUAGCCGUCCAGAAUUCCCGAAAAGAUAUUAGUUUUUCAGUAGCUGCAGAAAGUCUGGAUAUCGGGUCUCUCUCUUUGUCCAGCCACACAAAAGUCCCUAAAAAGUUUCGAUUUUCAGCUGCCCAAAAUUGCUUAAGCAAUAUUAAUUUCAUCAGUCUUAAUAUGGAGUGAAAGUGUUGAAUCAUUUUUUGGUUUUUCGUUUGCUCUGUUGUUGCUGUGAACCCGAGCCUCGCAAGCUUGGAUUUGGCAGUCUUUUGAGAGUCUUAAUUCGAGACUUUAUCAAAACAAAGUCUCAAGAUGAGACUCGGCACACCCGUCCAUAGAGUCAUCUCGAUCCGCAAUUCUUAAAUCACAUUGGGCAGGCGAAACUCGCUAGAGACCGCCUAUAACAUUUUAUUCUUUUUUUCUUUCCUUAUCAUUCGUCUUCUUUCAUCCAUCUUUAUGAUUGCUAAUUUGUCUGUGUUUUGGAUUGUGUGUGGUUUAAAAUUAGGUGUAGAACCUAUGAUUCACGUAGGAUUAGGAAGGGGUGGAUUUUGUCAUUUACGAUUACUGCUCUGAACAUUAGGUACUUAUUUUUACCAUAUAGAGUGCAUCAUUCAUAUAAUAAUGUUUUAAACUUUGUUAGUUAUAAGUUAUUUGUUUUUUCUUCUCAAAGCUAUUUUCUUAAAUUUUAGACCUUAGAAUUAAUUAACCUACGUUUGGCCGGAUAACCGUAGUUAACAGAUUCUAAAGGAUGCCUAGCCCCUUCCCUUUAGGAUAAUAUAGAAUCCUUACCUAGAAUCACACUGGUUAAGCAGACUAUUAACGGAGGUUUAGUUAGCUUUACCUUAGUUAAUAAUUAGGUGCCCUAAUUCACCUUAAAAUCAAUUAGGUGGCGACUCCUUAAAACAAAGCAAUUUAGGAAUCACCAAUAUGUUAUACUCCGCUUCAACCCGGUUAAAAUGGGGUAUAACAGCUUGGCUACUCUGCUGGGGAAAUUAGGUUUUUAACCAUAACAACUUAGGUUAAUAAUUAAUUAAUUGGAUGUUUGGGGUGUUUUGCCUUUAUUUUUUGCUUUGUUGUUUUCGUAUGUGCUUUUAAAUAGCUUUUAUUAUGUGAAAUUUUCUAUGUUACUGCUUUCCUUAAACUGGCAUUCCGUUCAUAUUUCCUCCAUUCCUGGAAAAUUCACACAAAUUCACACACUUAAAGCGGCUUCGCGGUUCGCGCCCGUGCACUACUAAAUUACCCCUUUAGUUGGAUUGGUCCAGUGGAUUUAGUCGAUCGGCGGUGCAGUCGACGGCCACAGCCUUUCCACUCCCAAUUUGUCCGCUUGGGGGAGCCUUGUGUCAUAGGAAAACAACUCCUAGUCAGUCUAAGAUAGAGCUUGCCACCAAUUUUAUUAAGUCAUGCAUGCAUAAGCCUUAGGUGGGUCGGUCCUUGGUAUCGACUCCGCAAUUAGGAAACCUACCAAAUUGUCGACGGGUUUCAUAACCCAACGACCAACAAGCAUAUUAUGUGUAAAGUGAUAAUGAUAGAAGGAUCCAAGCCUAAUCAUGACAUGUCAAGUUUGGGAAUCAUUUCUUUUUGUAGAAUAGAUCUGCCAUAGUGUAGCAUUAUGUGUUCUUUAUGUGCUUUGUUUAAUGUGUUUUAGAUUAGAUUAGAUUUAUAUGUUUGAAACAAUAUUCAACAUAGUAUCGAGGCUUCUUUAGUUUUAAAGCUGUGAGGAUUAGCAAUAUCUUAAAAUUGAUAAGAAUACUCUUUCAAAUGUUAAUACACUUUAGUCACAACUUUGACUUGUUUAAAUGCAAAGGAAGAGUAAGCUUGAGUUUCAGGUCUGUUACAAUUGAAACCUUUGAUCUGUCUAGUAAUUAGAUGAGUACUCAGCUGAUAGGGAUUGUUUAGUUCAUUUUUCCAAUCGUAACAGACCUGUUUAGUAUAAAUCGGACCUGAAUUGUUGUGCUCAUUGGCUUUGUCAGUCAGUCUAUAUCAGUUUUUGUCGCAUAUUUGCUUAGUUUAGCUGUUCAGUCCAGUAAAUGUUUGUUCAUUAUGUUUGCAUUUCGUUUGAGUGCCUUAGUUUAAGUGUCUAUCUAUGAAGUUUUGAGUAUUCACCACGUCUAGACUUUUGAAGUUGUUUGGCUAUUUAGUUACGAAUCUUCAAUGUCAUUGAUUGUUUAUAUAUUUUAGUAUAGCUGGUUGUUAGAUAAAUUUGGUUAUCAUGCGUAUGGUUUCUGUACUAACUAAUCCUUUUUAUGUGAUUAAUAUAUGUUAGUUUUAAUUCGGUUUAAUUUGUAGUCAAUGGUAUGCUUUUUCAAAUGAUUACAAGUAUGCUAAGUUGAGCUCAAAUUCCUUCUUUAACUAUGUGUUAGUUCAGGUUAGUGCUAGGUUAUUAGCAUGCCUCAUAUCUGUUUAGCCUAGCUUUGUUCAAGCAUAUAUGUAUUUUGCCUGAGAUGCAGAUUAAAUUCGAACUAGAAUGCUUUUUUGGGUAUGUGUCUCAAUGUUAGGAGUCUAAUUGGAGAGUGCUUGUUUGGUUAUGUGUCUCAAUGUUAUGAGUCUCAUUGGGUCAUUCAUGCCUAUCAAAUAUUCACUUUAGAUAAUCACAGUUUGACAUAGUCUCAAUACAGUCUUAAUGCAUGCUUAUAUUCUAAACUCAGUCCUGGAUACCCUGUAUGUUCUUUGGCAUCCUCUUAUAUUCCAUGGCUAUACAUGUGUGUUGGUUGGGACUGUCAGUGAUUUGUAUGUUUGAAUAAGUGUAGAUACUUGUCUGAGAUCUUCUUGUUGACUGUUUAAGCUUAAAAUAAUUAAUACAUGUGUCUGAUGCUACCUUUGCUAUGCACUUAUCCACCUUUGCUCUUCGAUACCUUGUGUGUUGCCUUAAUACCCCGAGGAUCCUGUGAUAAUACUAUACUCUGAGGUUCUAUUUGUUUAAGCGUGAAAAAAAAAACUUGCAUCUUGCUCUAAAAUAAACUGAUGCAUCUAGCUUAAAUACCCAUUUGCCCUUAACCAGAGAUAGAGAAUGUCACACUGUAGAUCAUGAAUGAAGGAUGUUAAUUGUAUAUUUGUUCAAGUGAGAUUUCCUAUCUAAACUGAGCCCAAUGUGAAAAUGGUUGGAACAAAGUAAAUCACUACAAAUAAGAAAUGGAUUGUUUGUGAUCAUGAUGAAUAAGAGAGGCCUAAGAGGUUUUCACUUGGGUGUGAUAGGAUAAGAGUGACUUACCUAGGUCUAGAGAAAGACAAGGAAAGGCUUGAGUUUACUCAGCCUAGUACUAUCAAUCCUAAGCUGUCGGGAUUCCUCUAUGUUGAAUCACACUCCUAUGGGACCCUCUAAGUUUCUGAGGAAGGAGGGAUAUUGCAUAAAUAUAGCUUGUUAUUAAGGAAGAUGGGUUUAGAGUUGUAAAGAUGGCACUAUAUAUCACUAGUUUUGUGUUCUGCUUGGCAUUUCUGAUUUUGGACUUUGCCCUUUUUUUUUUUCACUCUCAGGUCAUAAAGUUGAUAGACUAAUAUGUUUUCCUAUUACUAGGAUAGUUUAAACCAUGCCAUUUUGUUAUCUUUCAUGCUUAAUAUAUCCUCCCAAAGUGGUCUGAAUUUUUCAUGUGUUCCCCAAGAAUAUAGGAAGAGAUGGUUCCUGUUUUUGUGCAUGCUUUAAGUUAACAUAAUGUUCCAUUUAGUCUCUUGGAACUUUGAUCCACUGCCCUCUAUUUGUAUGCUAUGUUUCAAAUGCUAAACCAAAAUGGAUGCCCAUAUUGACAUAUGAAGCAUCUCUUAUGCCCUUCCCUGGUCUGUUCGAAAUUUCCAAUGUGUGUUUCACUCUUUUUUCCUCUGAGUAUCAUGGAAGGUAUAGGUUGAAUAGUGUGUUAUACCCUAUAUAUAGAUGUGAACACAUGUGAGACUGGUUCAAGUUGAUUGAUGUCGUGCCUCUUGUUUGACAGUAUUGCAUCUCCCCUUCUCUAUAUUAUUUCACUCCUUGUGUUCUUUUCAUAACUUGAGGGACUUCUUCAAAACCCAAAUAUCAUGGAUUGGUUUGCUGCACAUUUGAAAAGCUGCUGGUUGUAGUGAGAAGUCCCAUUUGGGAUUAAAUCAAUGCUGCUAACUGCAAAUAAAUGUUGAUUUCUUAAACCAAAUGUUGCACUUAACUAUAGCCCUAUGACAAUUUGUUUGCUGCAUUUUGUGGCUCAUUGUGAUUGCCUUUCUAAGGCCGUACUGCUGCCUAUUGUUACUACUAGUUGUUGAUUUGCUGCUUUAAAUUUCGGGGCAAAAAAUAGAUGCUGCCUAGCUUGUGGUUGAGCUAGUGUCUUGUUAAAAAUGGUAACAAGUAGAUGUUGCAAUUAUAUUUCUGAUGUUGCCCAUGGUUUUCAUAUAUGAUGUUGCCCCUGUUUUCCUGAAAACUUGUUUAAGCCAUGCCUUGUUUACUCUCCACUGGUCAAACGUAAACAACAUAAUAAGUCCUGUCUCCUAUGUUAAACUGCUCAUAAGAUGUAAAAAGGAUAAGGUGACUAGGGGGUGGAAGGGCCUCCACUUCUAAAUAAUAAUUGUUUGAGUGAUUUCCUUUGAAGGCAGAUUAGGAGAUGUCGUUUGUUUGAAGUGUUGGAGUUUAAGUGAAGAUGUUUGGCUCUUUGUCAUUAAUAUUAAACCAUGUUUUAAUGUUACAUUUUAAAAAAAAAAAAUAUAUUAACCCAUGUUUAGCAUAAAGGUGCAUCUUAAUAGUCGUUCUUUUGAUAUAAGUUCCUAGACUCUUUCUUGUCCCUAAUCAUUUUGGCUAUAUUUUGAAUCUGCUGGGAUAUUCUUGAAAUCUGAGUCCCUUUUGUCAUCUUAAUUAUUUUCAAAAUUAGUUUAAGUCAUGAAAAUCCUUCAUAAGUGAAUUACUUGAUACUCCACUUGUUGUUAGCUUGUUAAACAUGUGUCAUUCUCGACACUCCUUCACCCCUCCUCCUUUCGCAUGACUUGGGAAUGUUCCAAUCCCAAAUAUCCAUGAGCAACUGUUGAGGUCAAGUUUCUGUUGUACUGGUGAGGCCUUGCAAAUGGAAUUGAGUUUGGAUAAGUUUGUUGCUGCCUACUUGUUGUACCUUGAGCUAAGUUGGCUACAUCCUUUUAUUCCCUUCUGCUACAACACAUUGUUGUUUCUGUAUAUUUUUGUUGCAUUAUGGUGAAAUUUGUUGCUGCACUGUUGGGUUGACUGUUUUGUUUCAACAAGAAAAAUUGUUGAUCUUCAAGGCUCAUUUUGGUACUAUUGUCUGGCUGAAGUUAUUGUCAUUCUGCUGUUACUCUGUUUUAAGUAGAGGUGAGGAUAAACUGCGGUAUUAUGGGGCUUAGUGAUGCCAUAUUUAAGUCAACUUGUCACUGCAUUUUGAACUAAGCAGUUCUUGUUUCCUGGUCAAGUGUACCACAUUUGUUGUCUAUUGUUGCUACUGCUUGCUGCUGUUUUCUGUCAACUCUAGAAAGACAGCUUCCCGCUAUAUUUUUGGUAUUAAUUACUACAUUUUACAAAGAUGAUGCACUUAAUUUCUGAAUCAAUAGUUGUUGCUACACUUAUGGCAUUAAGGCAGGCAAAUGCUAUAAUUGGUGCUGCUUUACUUUGGCUUUUGAAUUUGUGAAGCUGCUUGAUCAAUGUGGCUUUGAAGUUUUCACUUGAUACCACCUGUUUGCUGCUGCAUUUCGGGUCACUUCUAGGGCCAGUUUGUUGCUGCUAUCUUGCUGCUGAUACAAAGCCAAACGAAGGACAUUAGACCUGAACCGAUCUUGCCAUUACGUUUUGAGACCUGUACUGCUGCAUUGUGAAACAAAAUGGCUGCUUCAUUUUGGCCAUUUAAACAUUUUGGGCCAAAUAGUUUUACUGAUAGGGGAUUUGCCACUACUGCUUUCAAGAAGCUAUUGCAUUUAGAAGAAUAGAUACUGCAUCUUGAUAUGGUUGCUACUUUUUUCUCAAAAAAUAAGCAGAUACUACUCUAGCUGCAUUUUGGCCAUUCCGUUGAUUUGUUUUGGCCACGAGUUACUGUAUUCUAAACCUGAAUUGCUGCUGCAUUUGAACCUAAAUUGCUGCUAUAUUUUGUGGCAAGGAGAUACUGCAUUUUGGCAAUUCAAACCUCAGUUUGGUAGUGAUAUAUCGCCUGCAUUUUGAGCCAACUUGUGGCUGUAUAUUUGUACAAGACUGUUGUGUUUGCAGCUGUUA